RNAcentral lists this ribosomal RNA (253 nucleotides) under uncultured bacterium. RNAcentral's name for it is "partial 16S ribosomal RNA". It matches the Rfam family "Bacterial small subunit ribosomal RNA", at positions 524 to 776 of the family's 1533-position model. The record is from RNAcentral.
UACGUAGGGGCCGAGCGUUGUCCGGAGUUAUUGGGCGUAAAGCGCGCGCAGGCGGCCUCGCGCGCCCGACGUGAAAGCCCCCGGCUUAACCGGGGAGGGUCGUUGGGGACGGCGGGGCUUGAGGGCGGGAGAGGGCGGUGGAAUUCCCGGUGUAGUGGUGAAAUGCGUAGAGAUCGGGAGGAACACCUGUGGCGAAGGCGGCCGUCUGGGCCGACCCUGACGCUGGGGCGCGAAGGCGUGGGGAGCGAACGGG